RNAcentral lists this ribosomal RNA (398 nucleotides) under Anelosimus sp. 2 YL-2019. RNAcentral's name for it is "partial 16S ribosomal RNA". The record is from RNAcentral. Lineage: Eukaryota; Metazoa; Arthropoda; Arachnida; Araneae; Theridiidae.
CUGCUCAAUGAAUAUAAAUAUUCAUUUAUAUUAUUUAAAUAGCCGCAAUUCUGUGCUAAGGUAGCAUAAUCAUUUGCUUUUUAAUUAAAAGCUAGAAUGAAAGGUUAAACAUUUAAAUUUCUUUAUUAAAACCAAAUUUAUAAUUUAUACUAAAUAUAAAAAUAUAUUUUUUUAAAAAAAAGACGACAAGACCCUAUUAAACUUAACUUAAUGUUUAACUGGGGCAGUUAAUUAAUAAAAAUUUUAAAUUAUAAUAUAUAAAUAAAUUUCUAAUAAUAUUAAAUUUAACAAGUUACUAUAGGGAUAACAGCGUUAUAUUUUUUAAAAGUUCAUAUUUAAAAAAAUGAUUGCGACCUCGAUGUUGAAUUAUAUUUCUUUAUUAACGCAAUAGUUAUACA